AACGAACGCUGGCGGCAUGCCUAACACAUGCAAGUCGAACGAGACCUUCGGGUCUAGUGGCGCACGGGUGGCGUAACGCGUGGGAAUCUGCCCUUUGCUUCGGAAUGACAGUUAGAAAUGACUGCUAAUACCGGAUGAUGUCUUCGGACCAAAGAUUUAUCGGCAAAGGAUGAGCCCGCGUAGGAUUAGGUAGUUGGUGGGGUAAAGGCCUACCAAGCCGACGAUCCUUAGCUGGUCUGAGAGGAUGAUCAGCCACACUGGGACUGAGACACGGCCCAGACUCCUACGGAGGCAGCAGUGGGGAAGUA
RNAcentral lists this ribosomal RNA (308 nucleotides) under uncultured bacterium. RNAcentral describes it as "bacterial SSU rRNA". It matches the Rfam family "Bacterial small subunit ribosomal RNA", at positions 29 to 364 of the family's 1533-position model. The record is from RNAcentral.